GUUUCCGUAGUGUAGUGGUUAUCACGUGCGCCUCACACGCGCAAGGUCCCCGGUUCGAUCCCGGGUGGAAACA
Molecule: non-coding RNA, 73 nt
Organism: Hyalella azteca
Lineage: Eukaryota; Metazoa; Arthropoda; Malacostraca; Amphipoda; Hyalellidae
Source: the annotation of a RefSeq genome assembly